Small nucleolar RNA from Panicum virgatum (switchgrass), 139 nucleotides. RefSeq annotates it as small nucleolar RNA Z247. NCBI's taxonomy places the organism in Eukaryota, Viridiplantae, Streptophyta, Magnoliopsida, Poales, Poaceae. The record is from RefSeq and is a predicted model, not a curated record. The transcript has a single exon.
CCCCUAGGAGAUGAAGAACUGGUUCAGUACGUCCUCGCUGGUUUGGACAUGGAAUACAACCCUAUUGUUUCUGCUGUUCUUGCUCGUGUUGAGUCAAUUUCUAUCAAUGAAUUAUACUCCCAGCUGUUAAGUUUUGAGC